Molecule: unclassified non-coding RNA, 101 nt
Organism: Cavia aperea (Brazilian guinea pig)
Lineage: Eukaryota; Metazoa; Chordata; Mammalia; Rodentia; Caviidae
Gene: Vault
Rfam family: Vault RNA
About the family: This family of RNAs are found as part of the enigmatic vault ribonucleoprotein complex.
Source: Ensembl
GGGCUGGCUUUAGUCCAGCGGUUCCUUCGAGUCUGGCUACCCAACUGCCUGGGCCGAUUGGUCCAGUGGUUCGAGACCCUCAGGCGCUCUCCAGUCCUUUU